Daucus carota subsp. sativus is the source of this 751-nucleotide long non-coding RNA. RefSeq lists it as uncharacterized. The transcript is spliced from 5 exons. Lineage: Eukaryota; Viridiplantae; Streptophyta; Magnoliopsida; Apiales; Apiaceae. The record is from RefSeq and is a predicted model, not a curated record.
CCCGCCUACAAUUUUGACUCAGACUUACACAUUCACUUUCACCUCUCACCUCGGUCUCAUUUUCUCUCUCGCUCUCACCCCUACCUCUAUCUCUGGAACUCAAUUGCAAUUCAAUUAGGGGUUGAGGUUCAAUUAGAGCUAUAUUAAUUUGACAAGUCGAGGUGGAUCUCGGUUCUUUUAUGGAGGGGCUUCAUUAGCUUGGCAUUUGAAUUUCAAGACUUCGUAUUAGAUAAUAAGGUUCAUGGAAAACAUGGAAAACCGACCAUUCUAGAGAACUGGACUGCGAAAACUCCUAAAACAGUGAGUGAUUGGGAUAAGGAGAGUGAUAGAACACAGUAGCUUGUAAUUUUGUUCUUGUCACUGAAAAUGACAUCACUAACAUGUGCAUACAUACAUCAGCAACCUUGGCAAUAAGAAAGUUGAACUUUUUGAUACCGGAGGUGGUAGUCAACCUGCUGCUGCAGACAAUGUUUAAAUGGCUUCUAGCCAUAGAUGAUGCAUAUCAUGAUAAAGCAGUAGUUUCUAGAUUUAAAGGGUGGGAAGCUAUUGAUCGGGCUAUAGGGCAGCUGACAAGACUUCUUUGGAGGCAUAAAAUAAAGGCCACGUUUAUUGUUAUGGAUCUGAUGUUUGUUUAAGUUGUUGGUGAGUUGGAUGUUUAAGUAGUUGGAUGUUGGAUAUUUUAGUAGUUAGAUGUUGGAUGUUUGGUGUAAAGAUUUUAAAUAUGGUUUAUUCGAAUUGUUUAUUUUGGGAA